Molecule: ribosomal RNA, 425 nt
Filed under: uncultured bacterium
Lineage: Bacteria
Description: bacterial SSU rRNA
Rfam family: Bacterial small subunit ribosomal RNA
Source: RNAcentral
GUGGGGAAUAUUGGACAAUGGGGGCAACCCUGAUCCAGCCAUGCCGCGUGAGUGAUGAAGGCCUUCGGGUUGUAAAGCUCUUUUGGCGGGGACGAUGAUGACGGUACCCGCAGAAUAAGCCCCGGCUAACUUCGUGCCAGCAGCCGCGGUAAGACGAAGGGGGCUAGCGUUGUUCGGAAUUACUGGGCGUAAAGCGUGUGUAGGUGGUUGUCAUAGUCAGGUGUGAAAGCCUUGAGCUCAACUCAAGAAAUGCACUUGAUACUGGGCAGCUAGAGGACCGGAGAGGAUAGUGGAAUUCCCAGUGUAGUGGUGAAAUACGUAGAGAUUGGGAAGAACACCAGUGGCGAAGGCGGCUAUCUGGACGGUUUCUGACACUAAGACACGAAAGCGUGGGGAGCAAACAGGAUUAGAAACCCCGGUAGUCC